AACGAACGCUGGCGGCAUGCCUAACACAUGCAAGUCGAACGAGACCUUCGGGUCUAGUGGCGCACGGGUGCGUAACGCGUGGGAACCUGCCCUCAGGUUCGGAAUAACUCCCCGAAAGGGGUGCUAAUACCGGAUAAUGUCUUCGGACCAAAGAUUUAUCGCCUUUGGAUGGGCCCGCGUUGGAUUAGCUAGUUGGUAGGGUAAAAGCCUACCAAGGCGACGAUCCAUAGCUGGUCUGAGAGGAUGAUCAGCCACACUGGGACUGAGACACGGCCCAGACUCCUACGGGAGGCAGCAGUGGGGAAUAUUGGACAAUGGGCGAAAGCCUGAUCCAGCAAUGCCGCGUGAGUGAUGAAGGCCUUAGGGUUGUAAAGCUCUUUUACCCGGGAUGAUAAUGACAGUACCGGGAGAAUAAGCUCCGACUAACUCCGUG
RNAcentral lists this ribosomal RNA (433 nucleotides) under uncultured bacterium. RNAcentral's name for it is "partial 16S ribosomal RNA". It matches the Rfam family "Bacterial small subunit ribosomal RNA", at positions 29 to 507 of the family's 1533-position model. The record is from RNAcentral.